UACGGGGGGGGCAAGCGUUGUUCGGAAUUACUGGGCGUAAAGGGCGCGUAGGCGGCUUUGUAAGUCCGUUGUGAAAUCCCUCGGCUCAACCGAGGAACUGCGACGGAUACUGCUUGGCUUGAGUCCCGGAGAGGGUAGCGGAAUUCCCAGUGUAGCGGUGAAAUGCGUAGAUAUUGGGAGGAACAUCGGUGGCGAAGGCGGCUACCUGGACGGGUACUGACGCUGAUGCGCGAAAGCUAGGGGAGCAAACAGG
RNAcentral lists this ribosomal RNA (253 nucleotides) under uncultured bacterium. RNAcentral describes it as "partial 16S ribosomal RNA". It matches the Rfam family "Bacterial small subunit ribosomal RNA", at positions 524 to 776 of the family's 1533-position model. The record is from RNAcentral.